AGCGAACGCUGGCGGCAGGCCUAACACAUGCAAGUCGAACGGAUCCUUCGGGAUUAGUGGCGGACGGGUGAGUAACACGUGGGAACGUGCCCUUUGGUCCGGAACAACUCAGGGAAACUUGAGCUAAUACCGGAUGUGCCCUUCGGGGGAAAGAUUUAUCGCCAUUGGAGCGGCCCGCGUCUGAUUAGCUAGUUGGUGAGGUAAAGGCUCACCAAGGCGACGAUCAGUAGCUGGUCUGAGAGGAUGAUCAGCCACAUUGGGACUGAAACACGGCCCAAACUCCUACGGGAGGCAGCAGUGGGGAAUCUUGCGCAAUGGGCGAAAGCCUGACGCAGCCAUGCCGCGUGAAUGAUGAAGGUCUUAGGAUUGUAAAAUUCUUUCACCGGGGACGAUAAUGACGGUACCCGGAGAAGAAGCCCCGGCUAACUUCGUGCCAGCCGCCGCAGUAA
This 449-nucleotide ribosomal RNA is filed under the name uncultured bacterium. RNAcentral describes it as "partial 16S ribosomal RNA". It matches the Rfam family "Bacterial small subunit ribosomal RNA", at positions 29 to 523 of the family's 1533-position model. The record is from RNAcentral.